GUGCCAGCGCCGCGGUAAUACCGGCAGCCCGAGUGAUGGCCGAUCUUAUUGGGCCUAAAGCGUCCGUAGCUGGCCUCGCAAGUCCGUCGGGAAAUCCAUCAGCCCAACUGAUGGGCGUCCGGCGGAAACUACAAGGCUUGGGACCGGAAGGCUCGAGGGGUACGUCUGGGGUAGGUGUGAAAUCCCGUAAUCCCGAACGGACCACCGAUGGCGAAAGCACUCUGAGAAGACGGCUUCGACAGUGAGGGACGAAAGCUAAGAUCGCGAACCGGAUUAGAAACCCGUGUAGUCC
RNAcentral lists this ribosomal RNA (292 nucleotides) under uncultured bacterium. RNAcentral's name for it is "partial 16S ribosomal RNA". It matches the Rfam family "Archaeal small subunit ribosomal RNA", at positions 455 to 747 of the family's 1478-position model. The record is from RNAcentral.